RNAcentral lists this ribosomal RNA (246 nucleotides) under uncultured eukaryote. Its description in RNAcentral is "partial large subunit ribosomal RNA". It matches the Rfam family "Eukaryotic large subunit ribosomal RNA", at positions 40 to 268 of the family's 3401-position model. The record is from RNAcentral.
AUAUUAAUAAGCGGAGGAAAAGAAACUAACAAGGAUUCCCAUAGUAACGGCGAGUGAACCGGGAAGAGCGCAAAUUUGAAAUCGGAAGUAAUUAACUUUAUUUCGAGUUGUAAUUUAGGAAAUAAUAUUACGGGCAUUUGCUAAGAUUAAAAUCAUUUGGAAUAAUCAUGCCACAGAGGGUGAUAGCCCCGUUUUAAUACUUAUAAAGCGGUUAAUGUCAAUACGUAUUAUUAUUUUAAGAGUCGG